This 439-nucleotide ribosomal RNA is filed under the name uncultured bacterium. RNAcentral describes it as "partial 16S ribosomal RNA". It matches the Rfam family "Bacterial small subunit ribosomal RNA", at positions 339 to 795 of the family's 1533-position model. The record is from RNAcentral.
CUACGGGCCGCAGCAGUGGGGAAUAUUGCACAAUGGAGGAAACUCUGAUGCAGCAACGCCGCGUGGAGGAUGACACAUUUCGGUGCGUAAACUCCUUUUAUAUGAGAAGAUAAUGACGGUAUCAUAUGAAUAAGCACCGGCUAACUCCGUGCCAGCAGCCGCGGUAAUACGGGGGGUGCAAGCGUUACUCGGAAUCACUGGGCGUAAAGAGCAUGUAGGCGGAUAGAAAAGUUGGAAGUGAAAUCCUGUGGCUUAACCAUAGAACUGCUUCCAAAACUCUCUAUCUAGAAUAUGGGAGAGGUAGAUGGAAUUUCUGGUGUAGGGGUAAAAUCCGUAGAGAUCAGAAGGAAUACCGAUUGCGAAGGCGAUCUACUGGAACAUUAUUGACGCUGAGAUGCGAAAGCGUGGGGAGCAAACAGGAUUAGAUACCCCGGUAGUC